AUACGGAGGAUGCAAGCGUUAUCCGGAUUUAUUGGGUUUAAAGGGUGCGCAGGCGGGAAAUUAAGUCAGUGGUGAAAUCCUACAGCUUAACUGUAGAACUGCCAUUGAUACUGAUUUUCUUGAGUGCAGUUGAGGUAGGCGGAAUGUGUAAUGUAGCGGUGAAAUGCUUAGAUAUUACACAGAACACCGAUUGCGUAGGCAGCUUACUAAACUGUUACUGACGCUCAGGCACGAAAGCGUGGGGAGCGAACAGGAUUAGAAACCCCAGUAGUCC
Molecule: ribosomal RNA, 274 nt
Filed under: uncultured bacterium
Lineage: Bacteria
Description: partial 16S ribosomal RNA
Rfam family: Bacterial small subunit ribosomal RNA
Source: RNAcentral